RNAcentral lists this ribosomal RNA (459 nucleotides) under uncultured bacterium. RNAcentral describes it as "partial 16S ribosomal RNA". It matches the Rfam family "Bacterial small subunit ribosomal RNA", at positions 338 to 795 of the family's 1533-position model. The record is from RNAcentral.
CCUACGGGAGGCAGCAGUGAGGAAUAUUGGUCAAUGGCCGCAGGGCUGAACCAGCCAAGUCGCGUGAGGGAUGACGGUCCUAUGGAUUGUAAACCUCUUUUGUCAGGGAGCAAAGGGCGCCACGUGUGGCGCUUUGCGAGUACCUGAAGAAAAAGCAUCGGCUAACUCCGUGCCAGCAGCCGCGGUAAUACGGAGGAUGCGAGCGUUAUCCGGAUUUAUUGGGUUUAAAGGGUGCGCAGGCGGAAUGGCAAGUCAGCGGUAAAAUUUCGGGGCUCAACCCCGUCGUGCCGUUGAAACUGGCGUUCUUGAGUGAGCGAGAAGUAUGCGGAAUGCGUGGUGUAGAGGUGAAAUGCAUAGAUAUCACGCAGAACUCCGAUUGCGAAGGCAGCAUACCGGCGCUCAACUGACGCUCAUGCACGAAAGCGUGGGUAUCGAACAGGAUUAGAUACCCGAGUAGUC